UUUUUUGUAGGUCACUCUAAAGUCAAUGACGGUGGCAGAGGAGUUGGUGGUGGCAGAGGCUAGGGUGCGGCGCUAAUGUGGCGAAGUGGCGGCUAGGGUUUCUGUUCCCUCUUUUUUUUUUUUUGCUAAAAAUUGUUUAGGUUUUGGGCUUGUUGGGCCAGUAGGGUUUUUUUUUGUUUAAUUUGGUCUUUUCAAUUGUAAAAUUGGGCCUGAUGGACUUUGGAUUGUUGUUACUAUUAUUUUUUUUGGCUGUUGUUUAGGGCCCGGACAAAAUUAGGCCUUUACAAGGGUCAUUGAAAUCAUUGUUAGGAUCAUGGUGGGACUGAUCUUCAUUAUCAGACCUUUCAUCACCAUCUU
Molecule: long non-coding RNA, 357 nt
Filed under: Gossypium raimondii (Peruvian cotton)
Lineage: Eukaryota; Viridiplantae; Streptophyta; Magnoliopsida; Malvales; Malvaceae
Description: long non-coding RNA (GRAI_LNC007638)
Source: RNAcentral